CCUACGGGUGGCUGCAGUGGGGGAUAUUGGACAAUGGGGGAAACCCUGAUCCAGCGACGCCGCGUGAGUGAAGAAGUAUUUCGGUAUGUAAAGCUCUAUCAGCAGGGAAGAAAGAAAUGACGGUACCUGAGUAAGAAGCCCCGGCUAACUACGUGCCAGCAGCCGCGGUAAUACGUAGGGGGCAAGCGUUAUCCGGAAUCCCUGGGUGUAAAGGGAGCGUAGACGGCUGUGCAAGCCUGAAGUGAAAGGCGGGGGCCCAAACCCUGGACUGCUUUGGGAACUGUACGGCUGGAGUGCAGGAGAGGUAAGUGGAAUUCCUAGUGUAGCGGUGAAAUGCGUAGAUAUUAGGAGGAACACCAGUGGCGAAGGCGGCUUACUGGACUGUAACUGACGUUGAGGCUCGAAAGCGUGGGGAGCAAACAGGAUUAGAUACCCCUGUAGUC
Molecule: ribosomal RNA, 443 nt
Filed under: uncultured bacterium
Lineage: Bacteria
Description: partial 16S ribosomal RNA
Rfam family: Bacterial small subunit ribosomal RNA
Source: RNAcentral